RNAcentral lists this ribosomal RNA (250 nucleotides) under uncultured bacterium. Its description in RNAcentral is "partial 16S ribosomal RNA". It matches the Rfam family "Bacterial small subunit ribosomal RNA", at positions 524 to 773 of the family's 1533-position model. The record is from RNAcentral.
UACGUAGGUGGCAAGCGUUGUCCGGAAUGACUGGGCGUAAAGGGAGCGUAGGCGGCGAAGCAAGUUAGGAGUGAAAUCCCAAGGCUUAACCUUGGAACUGCUUUUAAAACUGCUUUGCUUGAGUGAUGGAGAGGAAAGCGGAAUUCCUAGUGUAGCGGUGGAAUGCGUAGAUAUUAGGAGGAACACCAGAGGCGAAGGCGGCUUUCUGGACAUUAACUGACGCUGAAGCUCGAAAGCGUGGGGAGCAAAC